CACCAUCCAAGCCUGAGUACUACCCUGUGACCGAUAGCGCACCAGUACCGUGAGGGAAAGGUGAAAAGCACCCCGGGAGGGGAGUGAAACAGUACCUGAAACCGUGCGCCCACGAGCAGUCGGAGCAACUUUACGUUGUGACGGCGUGCCUUUUGUAGAAUGAGCCAGCGAGUCGCUGGCGCGGGGCGAGGUUAACCGAAAGGGAGCCGGAGCGAAAGCGAGCCUUAACAGGGCGACUUGAGUCCCGCGCCGCGGACGCGAAG
This 263-nucleotide ribosomal RNA is filed under the name Collinsella aerofaciens. RNAcentral describes it as "partial 23S ribosomal RNA". It matches the Rfam family "Bacterial large subunit ribosomal RNA", at positions 454 to 720 of the family's 2925-position model. Lineage: Bacteria; Bacillati; Actinomycetota; Coriobacteriia; Coriobacteriales; Coriobacteriaceae. The record is from RNAcentral.